RNAcentral lists this ribosomal RNA (482 nucleotides) under uncultured bacterium. RNAcentral's name for it is "partial 16S ribosomal RNA". It matches the Rfam family "Bacterial small subunit ribosomal RNA", at positions 30 to 507 of the family's 1533-position model. The record is from RNAcentral.
AUUGAACGCUGGCGGCAUGCCUUACACAUGCAAGUCGAACGGUAACGGGCCUUCGGGUGCCGACGAGUGGCGAACGGGUGAGUAAUACAUCGGAACGUGCCCGAUCGUGGGGGAUAACGAGGCGAAAGCUUUGCUAAUACCGCAUACGAUCUACGGAUGAAAGCAGGGGACCGCAAGGCCUUGCGCGGACGGAGCGGCCGAUGGCAGAUUAGGUAGUUGGUGGGAUAGAAGCUUACCAAGCCGACGAUCUGUAGCUGGUCUGAGAGGAUGAUCAGCCACACUGGGACUGAGACACGGCCCAGACUCCUACGGGAGGCAGCAGUGGGGAAUUUUGGACAAUGGGCGCAAGCCUGAUCCAGCCAUGCCGCGUGCAGGAUGAAGGCCUUCGGGUUGUAAACUGCUUUUGUACGGAACGAAAAGCCUUCUUUUAAUACAGGAGGGUCAUGACGGUACCGUAAGAAUAAGCACCGGCUAACUACGUG